RNAcentral lists this ribosomal RNA (465 nucleotides) under Vreelandella stevensii. Its description in RNAcentral is "partial 16S ribosomal RNA". It matches the Rfam family "Bacterial small subunit ribosomal RNA", at positions 338 to 795 of the family's 1533-position model. The record is from RNAcentral. Lineage: Bacteria; Pseudomonadati; Pseudomonadota; Gammaproteobacteria; Oceanospirillales; Halomonadaceae.
CCUACGGGUGGCAGCAGUGGGGAAUAUUGGACAAUGGGCGAAAGCCUGAUCCAGCCAUGCCGCGUGUGUGAAGAAGGCCUUCGGGUUGUAAAGCACUUUCAGUGGGGAAGAAAGCCUUGGGGCUAAUACCCUCGAGGAAGGACAUCACCCACAGAAGAAGCACCGGCUAACUCCGUGCCAGCAGCCGCGGUAAUACGGAGGGUGCGAGCGUUAAUCGGAAUUACUGGGCGUAAAGCGCGCGUAGGCGGUCUGAUAAGCCGGUUGUGAAAGCCCCGGGCUCAACCUGGGAACGGCAUCCGGAACUGUCAGGCUAGAGUGCAGGAGAGGAAAGUAGAAUUCCCGGUGUAGCGGUGAAAUGCGUAGAGAUCGGGAGGAAUACCAGUGGCGAAGGCGGCCUUCUGGACUGACACUGACGCCGAGGUGCGAAAGCGUGGGUAGCAAACAGGAUUAGAUACCCUAGUAGUC